CAGUCGCCGCGGUAAUACAGAGGGUGCGAGCGUUGAUCGGAUUUACUGGGCGUAAAGCGUGCGUAGGCGGCUUCUUAAGUCGGAUGUGAAAUCCCUGAGCUUAACUUAGGAAUUGCAUUCGAUACUGGGAAGCUAGAGUAUGGGAGAGGAUGGUAGAAUUCCAGGUGUAGCGGUGAAAUGCGUAGAGAUCUGGAGGAAUACCGAUGGCGAAGGCAGCCAUCUGGCCUAAUACUGACGCUGAGGUAAGAAAGCAUGGGGAGCAAACAGGAUUAGAUACCCCCGUAGUCCCUGUCUCUUAUAC
RNAcentral lists this ribosomal RNA (301 nucleotides) under uncultured bacterium. RNAcentral describes it as "partial 16S ribosomal RNA". It matches the Rfam family "Bacterial small subunit ribosomal RNA", at positions 509 to 807 of the family's 1533-position model. The record is from RNAcentral.